RNAcentral lists this ribosomal RNA (489 nucleotides) under uncultured bacterium. Its description in RNAcentral is "partial 16S ribosomal RNA". It matches the Rfam family "Bacterial small subunit ribosomal RNA", at positions 28 to 507 of the family's 1533-position model. The record is from RNAcentral.
GAUGAACGCUAGCUACAGGCUUAACACAUGCAAGUCGAGGGGCAGCAUGAUUGAAGCUUGCUUCAAUCGAUGGCGACCGGCGCACGGGUGAGUAACACGUAUCCAACCUGCCGAUAACUCGGGGAUAGCCUUUCGAAAGAAAGAUUAAUACCCGAUAGUAUAGUAUUUCCGCAUGGUUUCACUAUUAAAGAACUUCGGUUAUCGAUGGGGAUGCGUUCCAUUAGAUAGUUGGCGGGGUAACGGCCCACCAAGUCAACGAUGGAUAGGGGUUCUGAGAGGAAGGUCCCCCACAUUGGAACUGAGACACGGUCCAAACUCCUACGGGAGGCAGCAGUGAGGAAUAUUGGUCAAUGGACGAGAGUCUGAACCAGCCAAGUAGCGUGAAGGAUGACUGCCCUAUGGGUGGUAAACUUCUUUUAUACGGGAAUAAAGUGGAGUAUGCAUACUCCUUUGUAGGUACCGUAUGAAUAAGGAUCGGCUAACUCCGUG